This 484-nucleotide ribosomal RNA is filed under the name uncultured bacterium. Its description in RNAcentral is "partial 16S ribosomal RNA". It matches the Rfam family "Bacterial small subunit ribosomal RNA", at positions 30 to 507 of the family's 1533-position model. The record is from RNAcentral.
AUUGAACGCUGGCGGCAGGCCUAACACAUGCAAGUCGAACGGAAACAGGGAGCUUCUUCCUGCUUUCCGGGGGGGACGCGGGCGUGUGACUUAUGAAUCUGCCACUGCCUGAUGGAGGGGGACAACAACUGGGCGCGGUUACUACAACCGUCCAGCGUCGGAAGGCCGGAGAGGGUGGCAUUCCGCCCUCUCGCCAGCGCCUAGGUCGGAUUGGCUAGUUGGUGGGGUAAGGGUCUACCUAGGCGACGAUCCGUAACUGGUCUGAGAGGAUGAGCAGCCACACUGGAACUGAGACACGGUCCAGACUCCUACGGGAGGCAGCAGUGGGGAAUAUUGGACAAUGGGCGCAAGCCUGAUGCAGCCAUGCCGCGUGUGUGAAGAAGGCCUUCGGAUUGUAAAGUACUUUCAGUGGGGAGGAAGGGAAUUAAGUUAAUACCUUGCCUCAUUGACGUUACCCGCAGAAGAAGCACCGGCUAACUCCGUG